RNAcentral lists this small nuclear RNA (107 nucleotides) under Tupaia belangeri (northern tree shrew). Lineage: Eukaryota; Metazoa; Chordata; Mammalia; Scandentia; Tupaiidae. The record is from RNAcentral.
GUGCUCGCUUCGGCAGCACAUAUACUAAAAUUGGAACAAUACAAAGAAGAUUAGCAUGGUCCUUGUGAAAGGAUAACAUGCAAAUUCAUGAAGCGUUCCACAUUUUU